This 246-nucleotide ribosomal RNA is filed under the name uncultured bacterium. RNAcentral's name for it is "partial 16S ribosomal RNA". It matches the Rfam family "Bacterial small subunit ribosomal RNA", at positions 87 to 334 of the family's 1533-position model. The record is from RNAcentral.
UAUGGCGACCGGCGCACGGGUGAGUAACACGUAUCCAACCUGCCGAUGACUCGGGGAUAGCCUUUCGAAAGAAAGAUUAAUACCCGAUGGCAUAGUUCUUCCGCAUGGUAGAACUAUUAAAGAAUUUCGGUCAUCGAUGGGGAUGCGUUCCAUUAGGUUGUUGGCGGGGUAACGGCCCACCAAGUCUUCGAUGGAUAGGGGUUCUGAGAGGAAGGUCCCCCACAUUGGAACUGAGACACGGUCCAA